CACACACUUCCUUUUUUGUGUGCGCGUGUGUGUGUGGUGCACCUCACCGCACGCUUGGACUUACCUUCGCCGUCACAGACACGCGCAUGCCAAAGCAUCACCGAAGCCGCCACUCACACGAUCACUGAAGCCACCAACCACCCGGCCUUGCCCAAACCCCGUUCCUGUCGAGGCACAGUCGCACACAUACGCACCGUAGCGGGACCGCGUACAGACGGCAGCUUUGCCGCUUCCACGUCACCUCUGCCCCCUCCCCGCUUUCUGCCAUUUUUUUUUCCAUAGUCCCUCCCUCUUCUCUCUCCUUGCUCAACGGUGGCACUUGAGUGAUUUUUCGACGUUGUGGGUGAUCUUCGGGUUCUGUGUGCUUCUCUCUCUCUCUCUGUGUGAGCAUCCGCGUGCGCGCAUAUCGACAAGAAGACAGCGCUCACCAAACCGAAGCCGCUGUGCUCUCUCAUCUUUCCCCUAUAAAAACGCCACCUCACUGUGUUUUGUUGGCUUCUUUAGUUCAUGCGUUGCCGUAGCGCACGGCGCGUGCUACCGCCCCUCCCCUCCCUCCUCUCGCCACAACACCUCGUUUCUGCGGCCCUAUCUUUCGCUCUUUUCGCACACAGGCUCACAUUGGCACACGUAGAUUCUCUGACGCACAUCCUUUUCUUGUGUCGUGGUCAAUCCCGUCCGUACCUUAGUCUAUCCGUCCUUUGACUCCUCCCCUUUCUCUCUCGCCCUACCCGUGGUCUUCUUCCUCGCUCGCCUCCCCUUUCCAGUAGCUUCGCGACAGCGUAUCCCCAUCGACACUUCUCUUCACCGACUAGCGCGUGCGUGCUGUUCGUCCAUGGCGGCUAACGGCUGCUUCAUUGCAGCCCUGAUAGCCCGCACGCAUGACCGACUGCCCUUGUGCAGCUACACGGAUGACAACUACAGCAACGCGAAUGUGAUUCGGCAGCAGGAGCAGCGCAUUGUAGAACGGAUGGAGUCGCCGGCGGGUGGCACAGACCGGGCGGCGGCGAAGGGGAGCUACUACGAGAGUUUCGACCACAAGGACAACGUCUACUUUGCCUUUCAAGACGCGGCGACGGACUUGACGCUGGUUGUGGCAGUCAACAAGCUGCUGCUGCGCAACUCGGGCGACAUCAACGGCAUGAACAAGCUAGCCUGUGGGCUGCUCGACCUCAUUUUCUCGGAGUUCAUUCAGAUGUACACGCCGGCGGAGAUCGGCGCUCCCAACGUGAGGGCGUACCAGUUUAUCAAGUUUGACGCGACGCUGCGAAAGUGCGUGACGCGCAUCAUGCAGCAGGACCGUACCACCGGGGACAGAAUUGUGGUCGGCUCCGGGACAAGCGGUGGCAGUAGUGGGUCUGGAGCUGGCGCCGGCCCAAGUGGUGGCGGUGUCGGGGCAACGGGCAUGAUACGUCGCCAGGUCAACCCACAGUACGAUGCGCUGCGACAGGAGAUCACGGAUGUGCACAUGGUUAUGCGCAAGAAUCUGGAAGACCUCAUGACGCGCGGCGAGGGGCUCGACACCAUGACGAACUACUCCGCCGAGCUCGUGGAUCAGAGCUCCCGCUAUUACAAGAAGACGGUGCAGAUGAACCGCAUGCGUCUCCUCAAGACGUACGGCCCACCGGCAGCGAUCGGGCUUUUCCUCAUUGUUUUCUUCUACUUGUACUUCUUCUGAACUCGCGCGAGAGUAGGGCUAAAGUGAGUGAAAGGCAAACGACGUGGGCGUUCGGGGUGUAGUGUCGACUGUGGUGCCACACGUGGCGGCCAUGCCGCCUCUGACAAAGCAGUGUGAGGGGCAGCGGUGGCAGUCGAAGAAGCUCUGGGCUUAUAGCUCUCCUCCCCUCUCUGGUGUGCGCACGUACGCGUGCGCGGCUCCGUUCGCUUUUCUCUAGACGAAGAUUGACACCUAUCCGUGUCUGUGCGUCUUCGACGCCAAAGGGCGUUUGUGGGGAAAGGAGCGGAGGGGUGCAGAACUGUAGAGAUGGGCGGCAUUGCCCUCCUCCACCUCCGCUGUCAGGUAGUCCUCGACUCUUCCCCUCGAGCGGCUCAUAUACAACAGCAUCAUUGACGGGCAUUUGAUCUACGUACCCACCAACGCGACAAG
Molecule: unclassified non-coding RNA, 2104 nt
Filed under: Leishmania donovani
Lineage: Eukaryota; Euglenozoa; Kinetoplastea; Trypanosomatida; Trypanosomatidae
Description: gene:LdHU3.19.0450(CDS-product:Vesicle-traffickin g_protein_SEC22_putative)
Source: RNAcentral